RNAcentral lists this ribosomal RNA (442 nucleotides) under Oribacterium sinus. RNAcentral's name for it is "bacterial SSU rRNA". It matches the Rfam family "Bacterial small subunit ribosomal RNA", at positions 28 to 454 of the family's 1533-position model. Lineage: Bacteria; Bacillati; Bacillota; Clostridia; Lachnospirales; Lachnospiraceae. The record is from RNAcentral.
GAUGAACGCUGGCGGCGUGCCUAACACAUGCAAGUCGAACGAGAUGCGUAUUGGAAAGCUUCGGCCGGAAGAUGCGUUAUCUAGUGGCGGACGGGUGAGUAACACGUGGGUAACCUGCCUUAUGGAGGGGGAUAACAGAGAGAAAUCACUGCUAAUACCGCAUAAGCACACAGUACCGCAUGGUAGAGUGUGAAAAGAUUUAUCGCCAUAAGAUGGACCCGCGUCUGAUUAGCCAGUUGGCAGGGUAAAAGCCUACCAAAGCGACGAUCAGUAGCCGAUCUGAGAGGAUGACCGGCCACAUUGGGACUGAGACACGGCCCAAACUCCUACGGGAGGCAGCAGUGGGGAAUAUUGCACAAUGGGGGAAACCCUGAUGCAGCGACGCCGCGUGAGUGAAGAAGUAUUUCGGUAUGUAAAGCUCUAUCAGCAGGGAAGAUAAUGA